GUCUCUAUGAGAAAAAUAUAAAGUCUAGCCUGCCCACUGAGUUUUAAAGGGCUGCGGUAAUUUGACCGUGCAAAGGUAGCAUAAUCAGUAGUCUUUUAAUUGAAGGCUGGAAUGAAUGGUUGGAUGAGAGAUUAGCUGUCUCUAAUGUAUAUUAUAAUUUGACUUUUAAGUGAAAAGGCUUAAAUUAUUCAGAGGGACGAUAAGACCCUAUAAAACUUUAUAUGUCAUUAGUUUUAUACUUAAAUUUUAAUUUAAAAUUGUAAAAUCAAUAGCAUAUUUUGUUGGGGAGACAUUGAUAUAGACAGUAACUGUCCGAAUAAAAAUAAUAAUUAUAUUUAGAAUAUGAUCCUUCUUUGUGGAUAAAAAGAAUAAGUUACUUUAGGGAUAACAGCGUAAUUUUCUCUGAGAGUUCUUAUCGAAGAGAGUAGUUGCGACCUCGAUGUUGAAUUAAAAUUUCUUUUAGGUGUAGCCGUUUAAGUAGUAGGUCUGUUCGACCUUUAAAAUUUUA
Molecule: ribosomal RNA, 508 nt
Filed under: Palaemon argentinus
Lineage: Eukaryota; Metazoa; Arthropoda; Malacostraca; Decapoda; Palaemonidae
Description: partial 16S ribosomal RNA
Rfam family: Bacterial large subunit ribosomal RNA
Source: RNAcentral